UUGGAGGGCAAGUCUGGUGCCAGCAGCCGCGGUAAUUCCAGCUCCAAUAGCGUAUAUUAAAGUUGUUGCAGUUAAAAAGCUCGUAGUUGAAUUUCGGAAUCAAUAUGUUGGUCGUGCCAUUGGUACGUACUGGCAUUAUUGGUUUCUACCUUCUGAAGAACCUCGAUGUCAUUAAUUUGGUGUCUUGGGGAAUCAGGACUGUUACUUUGAAAAAAUUAGAGUGUUUAAAGCAGGCUCGCGCUUGAAUACAUUAGCAUGGAAUAAUGAAAUAGGACGUUUGAUUCUAUUUUGUUGGUUUCUAGGAUCGACGUAAUGAUUAAUAGGGAUAGUUGGGGGCAUUAGUAUUCAAUUGUCAGAGGUGAAAUUCUUGGAUUUAUUGAAGACUAACUACUGCGAAAGCAUUUGCCAAGGAUGUUUUCAUUAAUCAAGAACGAAAGUUAGGGGAUCGAAGACGAUCAGAUACCGUCGUAGUCUUAACCAUAAACUAUGCCGACUAGGGGUCGGAUGAUGUUAAUUUUUUAAUGACUCAUUCGGCACCUUACGGGAAAC
RNAcentral lists this ribosomal RNA (549 nucleotides) under uncultured Glomus. RNAcentral describes it as "SSU rRNA". It matches the Rfam family "Eukaryotic small subunit ribosomal RNA", at positions 548 to 1098 of the family's 1831-position model. Lineage: Eukaryota; Fungi; Glomeromycota; Glomeromycetes; Glomerales; Glomeraceae. The record is from RNAcentral.